GGAGAGAUGGCAGAGUGGUCGAAUGCGGCGGCUUCGAAAGCCGUUGUCCGGGCUUCCCGGACCGGGGGUUCGAAUCCCCCUCUCUCCGCCA
Molecule: transfer RNA, 91 nt
Filed under: Nitratifractor salsuginis DSM 16511
Lineage: Bacteria; Pseudomonadati; Campylobacterota; Epsilonproteobacteria; Campylobacterales; Sulfurovaceae
Description: tRNA-Ser (CGA) (tRNA-Ser-CGA-1-1)
Rfam family: tRNA
About the family: Transfer RNA (tRNA) molecules are approximately 80 nucleotides in length.
Source: RNAcentral